GACGAACGCUGGCGGCGUGCUUAACACAUGCAGGUCGAACGGAAAGGCCCUGCUUUUGUGGGGUGCUCGAGUGGCGAACGGGUGAGUAACACGUGAGUAACCUGCCCUUGACUUUGGGAUAACUUCAGGAAACUGGGGCUAAUACCGGAUAGGAGCUCCUGCUGCAUGGUGGGGGUUGGAAAGUUUCGGCGGUUGGGGAUGGACUCGCGGCUUAUCAGCUUGUUGGUGGGGUAGUGGCUUACCAAGGCUUUGACGGGUAGCCGGCCUGAGAGGGUGACCGGCCACAUUGGGACUGAGAUACGGCCCAGACGCCUACGGGAGGCAGAAGUGGGGAAUAUUGCACAAUGGGCGGAAGCCUGAUGUAGCAACGCCGCGUGCGGGAUGACGGCCUUCGGGUUGGAAACCGCUUUCGCCUGUGACGAAGCGUGAGUGACGGUAAUGGGUAAAGAAGCACCGGCUAACUACGUG
Molecule: ribosomal RNA, 468 nt
Filed under: uncultured bacterium
Lineage: Bacteria
Description: partial 16S ribosomal RNA
Rfam family: Bacterial small subunit ribosomal RNA
Source: RNAcentral